This 287-nucleotide ribosomal RNA is filed under the name Aeromonas salmonicida subsp. salmonicida 01-B526. RNAcentral's name for it is "partial 16S ribosomal RNA". It matches the Rfam family "Bacterial small subunit ribosomal RNA", at positions 221 to 525 of the family's 1533-position model. Lineage: Bacteria; Pseudomonadati; Pseudomonadota; Gammaproteobacteria; Aeromonadales; Aeromonadaceae. The record is from RNAcentral.
GUGGAGGAGCCUGCGUCCGAUUAGCUUGUUGGUGGGGUAAAGGCCUACCAAGGCGACGAUCGGUAGCUGGUCUGAGAGGAUGAUCAGCCACAUUGGGACUGAGACACGGCCCAAACUCCUACGGGAGGCAGCAGUGGGGAAUAUUGGACAAUGGGCGCAAGCCUGAUCCAGCAAUGCCGCGUGGAUGAAGAAGGUCUUCGGAUUGUAAAGUCCUUUCGGCGGGGACGAUGAUGACGGUACCCGCAGAAGAAGCCCCGGCUAACUUCGUGCCAGCAGCCGCGGUAAUU